Molecule: ribosomal RNA, 506 nt
Filed under: uncultured bacterium
Lineage: Bacteria
Description: partial 16S ribosomal RNA
Rfam family: Bacterial small subunit ribosomal RNA
Source: RNAcentral
AUUGAACGCUGGCGGCAGGCCUAACACAUGCAAGUCGAACGGUAACAGGAAACAGCUUGCUGUUUCGCUGACGAGUGGCGGACGGGUGAGUAAUGUCUGGGAAACUGCCUGAUGGAGGGGGAUAACUACUGGAAACGGUAGCUAAUACCGCAUAACGUCGCAAGACCAAAGAGGGGGACCUUCGGGCCUCUUGCCAUCGGAUGUGCCCAGAUGGGAUUAGCUAGUAGGUGGGGUAACGGCUCACCUAGGCGACGAUCCCUAGCUGGUCUGAGAGGAUAACCGGCCACACAGGAACUGAGACACGGUCCAGACUCCGACGGGGGGCAGCAGUGGAGAAUAUUGCACAAUGGGCGCAAGCCCGAUGCAGCCAUGCGGCGUGUAUGAAGAAGGCCUUCGGGUUGUAAAUGACUUUCAGCGGGGAGGAGGGGAGUAAAGUUAAUACCUUUGCUCAUUGACGUUACCCGCAGAAGAAGCACCGGCUAACUCCGUGCCAGCCGCCGCCGUAA